This 434-nucleotide ribosomal RNA is filed under the name uncultured Clostridium sp. Its description in RNAcentral is "partial 16S ribosomal RNA". It matches the Rfam family "Bacterial small subunit ribosomal RNA", at positions 341 to 792 of the family's 1533-position model. The record is from RNAcentral. Lineage: Bacteria; Bacillati; Bacillota; Clostridia; Eubacteriales; Clostridiaceae.
ACGGAAGGCAGCAGUGGGGAAUAUUGCACAAUGGAGGAAACUCUGAUGCAGCGACGCCGCGUGAGUGAAGAAGUAUUUCGGUAUGUAAAGCUCUAUCAGCAGGAAAGAAAAUGACGGUACCUGACUAAGAAGCCCCGGCUAACUACGUGCCAGCAGCCGCGGUAAUACGUAGGGGGCAAGCGUUAUCCGGAUUUACUGGGUGUAAAGGGAGCGUAGACGGUAUUGCAAGUCUGAAGUGAAAACCUGGGGCUCAACUCCGGGAUUGCUUUGGAAACUGUAGUACUAGAGUGCAGGAGAGGUAAGUGGAAUUCCUAGUGUAGCGGUGAAAUGCGUAGAUAUUAGGAGGAACACCAGUGGCGAAGGCGGCUUACUGGACUGUAACUGACGUUGAGGCUCGAAAGCGUGGGGAGCAAACAGGAUUAGAUACCCUGGUA